CUUGUUUAUGUUCGGGUCGGUGAGACUCUUGUAAUAAGUUUGUCAAACCUAGUGAAGGGGAGACAACUUAGUGAUUAGUCAGUGAGACUUAUGAUAAGUUCGUCAAACCUAGUGAAGGGGAGACGACUUAGUAAUUGGUCAGUGAGACCGUUGUAUCGCUCUAGUGAAGAGCCAAUACAGUUAUAGUGAAUUCGUUGGUGAGGGUAGUAAACUCGAACCAGCCGUGGACGUAGGUUGCACGCAUUGUGUAGCUGAACCACGUAUAUCUUGUGUUUGCGAUUGCUUGGUUGGUUUGCUUGAGUUAUUCUUGCCAUAACCAUCGAAUCAGAUUGAAGAGCGCAAAAAGGAAAGAAUUUGAAGGAGCACUGAUUCACCCCCCCUCUCAGUGCUCGUAUUGGGACUAACAUAAGGCAAUUGACUUUAUGGGAUCCCCUAGUGGGUUGUACCGCUGACCAACCUUGAUCUUUUGAAAGGGAUUCGAGUUUGAGCAUGCCUAUUGGGACCCAAAAGAUAGUGAACUGUGCUUGAGCAGGGCGAAGCCAGAGGAAACUCUAGCGGUGGCCCACAGCAAUACUGACGUGCAAAUCGUUAGUCUGGCUUGGGUAUAGGGGCGAAAGACUAAUCGAACCAUCUAGUAGCUGGUUCUUUCUGAAGUUUCCCUUAGGAUAGCUGGGGCUCAUAGACGAGUUCUAUCAAGUAAAGCCAAUGAUUAGAGGCAUUGUGGGCGCACUGCCCUCGACUUAUUCUCAAACUCUAAAUAGGUAGGAUGGCGUGACUGCUUUGUUGAGCCACGCCACGGAAUCAAGAGCUCCAAGUGGGCCAUUUUUUGUAAACAGAACUGGUGAUGUGGGAUGAAUCAGAAGUCGGGUUACGGUGCCUAACUAUGUGUUAACCUAGAACCCGCAAAGGGUAUUGGUCGAUGAAGACAAUCGGACGGUGGUCAUGGAAGUCGAAAUCUGCUAAGGAGUGUGUAAUAACUCACCUGCCAAAUUAACUAGCCCCAAGAAUGGAGGGUGCUGAAGCUCGUGACCUACACCCAACCAUCAUCGUGAAUGCUAGGCCUUGAUGAGUAAGAGGGCACGGCGGUCACUGCGAAACCUGGGACGUGAGCCUGGGCAUAGCAUCCGUUGGUGCGGAUCUUGGUGGUAGUAGCAAAUAUUUAAAUGAUAACUUUGAAGGUUAAAGAGAGGAAAGGUUCCAUGUGAACGGCACUUUCACAUGGGUUAGUCGAUCCUAAGAGAUGGGGGAAACCCGUCCGAUAGCAUGCACCAUGCGAGCUUCAAAAGCGAAUCAAGUUAAAAUUCUUGAAUCAGGAUGUGGCGGUUGACGGAAACGUUAGGGAGUCCGAAGACGUUGUCGAGGGCCUUGGGAAGAGUGAUCUUUUUUGUUUAACAGGUUGGCCAUAUUGGUAACAGUUUAGCCGGAGGUUCGGUCUAGCGGCUGGAAUAGCACCACACGUCACGUGGUGUCUGGUGUGCCCUCUACAGCCCUUGAAAAUCCGGAGGACCGAGUGCCUCCCACGCUCAGUCGUACUUAUAACUGCAUCAGGUCUCCAGGGUGAGCAACUUCUAGUCAAUGAAAUAAUGUAGGCAAGGGAAGUUGGCAAAAUGGAUCCGUAACUUUGGGAAAAAGAUUGGCUUUGAGGGUUGGCCCAAGGGUCCCUAUCCUGAACCCAUCGGCUGUUGGUGGACUGCUCGAGCUGCUCCCGCAGUGAGAGUGGUUCGCCACGUGCUGUCCGGGGGAUGGACUGGGAACAACUCUUUCGGAGGCCUUUCCCGGGCGUCUAACAAUCGGCUCAGAAUUGGUAUGGACAAGGGGAAUCCACUGUUUAAUUAAAACAAAGCAUUGCGAUAGUCCCAGCAGAUGCUAAUGCAAUGUGAUUUUUACCCAGUGCUCUGAAUGUCAAAGUGAAGAAAUUCAACUAAGCGCGAGUAAACGGCAAGAGUAACUAUGACUCUCUUAAGGCGGCCAAAUGUCUUGUCAUCUAAUUAGUGAUGCGCAUGAAUGGAUUAACGAAAUUCUCACUAUCCUUAUCUACUAUCUAGUGAAACCACAGUUCUUGGAACGGGCUUGGCAGAAUCAGCGGGGAAAAAAGACCCCGUUGAGCUUGACUUUAGUCUGACUUUGUGAAAUGAUUUGAGAGGUGUAGGAUAAGUGGAGGAGCUGGAGAUGGCAAAAGUGAAAUACCACUACUUUAACCGUUAUUUUACCUAUUACGUGAAUUGGAAGCGGGGCUCUCACCCCUUUUGUUAGAACCAAGACAUGCGCUCGUGCGUCUACUUGGGCGGAAGACAUUGUCAAGUGGGGAGUUUGGUUGGGGUGGUACAUCUGUUAAAAGAUAACGCAGGUGUCCUGAGAUGAGCUCAACGAGAACAGAAAUCUCGUUUGGAAAAAAAGGGUAAAAGCUCGUUUGAUUUUAAUUUUUAGUACGAAUACAAACCGCGAAAGCAUGGCCUAUCGAUCCUUUAGAACUUCAAAAUUUGAAGUUAGAGGUGUCAUAAAAGUUACCGCAGGGAUAACUGACUUGUGGCAGCCAAGCAUCCGUAGUGACUUUGCUUUUUGAUCCUUUGAUGUCGGCUCUUCCUAUUAUUAUGAAGUAGAAUUUACCAAGUGUUGGAUUGUUUACCCACCAAUAGGGAACUUAAGCUGGGUUUAGAUCGUCGUGAGACAGUUAGUUUUACCCUACUGAUAAUAGCGUCGCCAUAGUAAUUCAACUUAGUAUGAGAGGAACCGUUGAUUUGCACAAUUGGUCAUCACACUCGGUUGAAAAGCUAGUGGCACAAAACCACCAUGCGUUAGAUUAUAACUCAAUGAGUGUGCCUGUAAUUUGUUAACAAACAAAUGUCCUCCAAACGAGGGUUUUGGAUUUUGAUGAAAAUUUGGAUUUCAAAUUCCCAUGAUCCAAAAAUGAAUGGUAGUUAAUUACAUCGAGUCACUAAAGUGAGCGAAGACCUAUGAUU
This 2960-nucleotide ribosomal RNA is filed under the name Santalum album (white sandalwood). Its description in RNAcentral is "eukaryotic LSU rRNA". It matches the Rfam family "Eukaryotic large subunit ribosomal RNA", at positions 440 to 3273 of the family's 3401-position model. The record is from RNAcentral. Lineage: Eukaryota; Viridiplantae; Streptophyta; Magnoliopsida; Santalales; Santalaceae.